ACCUUACAAGGGAGAGAUGGAAGCUCUCUGGCCCUCCAGCCUGCUGAGAAGGUGACAUUUCCACAGGCUCAGCUCUCUCUGGGCCCAGCUCACUACUCACUGACCUAGGGCCUGAAUUCAACUUUGCUGGCACCUUGAUCUUGGAUUUCUUAGCUUCUAGACUGUAAGCAAUACAUAAGGCCAUCCAGUUGAUGCUACUUGAUCAUAGCAGCUCCAAUGUACAAAGAUACUU
Molecule: long non-coding RNA, 232 nt
Organism: Dipodomys spectabilis (banner-tailed kangaroo rat)
Lineage: Eukaryota; Metazoa; Chordata; Mammalia; Rodentia; Heteromyidae
Exons: 3
Source: RefSeq, a predicted model, not a curated record